GGAGGUAUCACAUAGAGGCCUAUUGUACACGCUUGGAAAGCGUGCGGGAGUAAUCCCACGAGAGUUCGAAUCUCUCUACCUCCGCCA
RNAcentral lists this transfer RNA (87 nucleotides) under Candidatus Altimarinota bacterium. Its description in RNAcentral is "tRNA-Ser". It matches the Rfam family "tRNA". Rfam says of the family: Transfer RNA (tRNA) molecules are approximately 80 nucleotides in length. Their secondary structure includes four short double-helical elements and three loops (D, anti-codon, and T loops). Further hydrogen bonds mediate the characteristic L-shaped molecular structure. tRNAs have two regions of fundamental functional importance: the anti-codon, which is responsible for specific mRNA codon recognition, and the 3' end, to which the tRNAs corresponding amino acid is attached (by aminoacyl-tRNA synthetases). tRNAs cope with the degeneracy of the genetic code in two manners: having more than one tRNA (with a specific anti-codon) for a particular amino acid; and 'wobble' base-pairing, i.e. permitting non-standard base-pairing at the 3rd anti-codon position. The record is from RNAcentral. Lineage: Bacteria; Candidatus Altimarinota. RNAcentral also lists the same sequence under 1 other name.